Molecule: ribosomal RNA, 467 nt
Filed under: uncultured bacterium
Lineage: Bacteria
Description: partial 16S ribosomal RNA
Rfam family: Bacterial small subunit ribosomal RNA
Source: RNAcentral
ACGAACGCUGGCGGCGUGCUUAACACAUGCAAGUCGAACGGAAAGGCCCUGCUUUUGUGGGGUGCUCGAGUGGCGAACGGGUGAGUAACACGUGAGUAACCUGCCCUUGACUUUGGGAUAACUUCAGGAAACUGGGGCUAAUACCGGAUAGGAGCUCCUGCUGCAUGGUGGGGGUUGGAAAGUUUCGGCGGUUGGGGAUGGACUCGCGGCUUAUCAGCUUGUUGGUGGGGUAGUGGCUUACCAAGGCUUUGACGGGUAGCCGGCCUGAGAGGGUGACCGGCCACAUUGGGACUGAGAUACGGCCCAGACUCCUACGGGAGGCAGCAGUGGGGAAUAUUGCACAAUGGGCGGAAGCCUGAUGCAGCAACGCCGCGUGCGGGAUGACGGCGUUCGGGUUGUAAACCGCUUUCGCCUGUGACGAAGCGUGAGUGACGGUAAUGGGUAAAGAAGCACCGGCUAACUACGUG